GAGCGGAACGAUGAUAGCUUGCUAUCAGGCGUCGAGCGGCGGACGGGUGAGUAAUACUUAGGAAUCUACCUAGUAGUGGGGGAUAGCUCGGGGAAACUCGAAUUAAUACCGCAUACGACCUACGGGAGAAAGGGGGCAGUUUACUGCUCUCGCUAUUAGAUGAGCCUAAGUCGGAUUAGCUAGAUGGUGGGGUAAAGGCCUACCAUGGCGACGAUCUGUAGCUGGUCUGAGAGGAUGAUCAGCCACACCGGGACUGAGACACGGCCCGGACUCCUACGGGAGGCAGCAGUGGGGAAUAUUGGACAAUGGGGGCAACCCUGAUCCAGCCAUGCCGCGUGUGUGAAGAAGGCCUUUUGGUUGUAAAGCACUUUAAGCAGUGAAGAAGACUCCAUGGUUAAUACCCAUGGACGAUGACAUUAGCUGCAGAAUAAGCACCGGCUAACUCUGUGCCAGCAGCCGCGGUAAUACAGAGGGUGCAAGCGUUAAUCGGAAUUACUGGGCGUAAAGCGAGCGUAGGUGGCUUGAUAAGUCAGAUGUGAAAUCCCCGGGCUUAACCUGGGAACUGCAUCUGAUACUGUUAGGCUAGAAUAGGUGAGAGGAAGGUAGAAUUCCAGGUGUAGCGGUGAAAUGCGUAGAGAUCUGGAGGAAUACCGAUGGCGAAGGCAGCCUUCUGGCAUCAUAUUGACACUGAGGUUCGAAAGCGUGGGUAGCAAACAGGAUUAGAUACCCUGGUAGUCCACGCCGUAAACGAUGUCUACUAGUCGUUGGGUCCCUUGAGGACUUAGUGACGCAGCUAACGCAAUAAGUAGACCGCCUGGGGAGUACGGCCGCAAGGUUAAAACUCAAAUGAAUUGACGGGGGCCCGCACAAGCGGUGGAGCAUGUGGUUUAAUUCGAUGCAACGCGAAGAACCUUACCUGGUCUUGACAUAUCUAGAAUCCUGCAGAGAUGCGGGAGUG
This 958-nucleotide ribosomal RNA is filed under the name Psychrobacter maritimus. Its description in RNAcentral is "bacterial SSU rRNA". It matches the Rfam family "Bacterial small subunit ribosomal RNA", at positions 64 to 1016 of the family's 1533-position model. Lineage: Bacteria; Pseudomonadati; Pseudomonadota; Gammaproteobacteria; Moraxellales; Moraxellaceae. The record is from RNAcentral.